This is a non-coding RNA of Amborella trichopoda, 2908 nucleotides long. Lineage: Eukaryota; Viridiplantae; Streptophyta; Magnoliopsida; Amborellales; Amborellaceae. The record is from RefSeq and is a predicted model, not a curated record.
UUUACAUGUCUAAAAUUUUAAAUGAUUUGGAUUUAUAGGAAAAAAUUAACAUUCAAAUCCGGACAGAUCAUUAGAUUAGCCUCAUAAUGGCCCAAAUUGAAUCUGAGCCAUUCGUGUUUAUUGUAGCUUGUAUGCCCAUGGGCGAUCUUUUCCCACCUAUAAGAGAGGAAUUAUUUAACAAUUUACCCCUUUGGACUAUUACCAACUCAAGGCCAUGCACUAUUUUAGGUGUUUUGAAAUUAAAUAAAAAUAUAUCUAAAAUGCUAAAUAAUUAAUCGCUUAUUUGUAUAUUGACAAUUUUCCCUUUCAUUUGUUGCAAUUGGCUAAUGAGGAAGGAUUCUAUAAGAUUGAUGCAAUUGUUUAAAUUGAACCAUUUUGUAUGGUACUAUGGUUUUCUAUAUCUCUGUUGCAUCACUUAUAUUCGACUCAAUUACUUGUUAGAAAAAAGUGUUCAAAUGUAUUUUUUUUUUAAUUUACCUAAUGGGGAAGGAUUUUUUUUUAAUUUACCUAAUGGGGAAGGAUUUUUGCAGGAAUGAAGAGUUAGUGAUUAGGGAACUUGUUAGGCAUGUUUCAGUCAAGUUGGAGUCUAUUGCAUGUUGCUGCUCACCUUGUUGGGCUCUAUUCUCAGAUUGAUGAUGUGAUGAGUUUUUUAGAAGGCCAUGCUAUUGAUGUUCAGAUUAUUGGGAUCCAUGGCAUGGGUGGCAUUGGUAAGAUAACUCUUGCCAAGGCAGUGUUCAACAAAAUAUAUUCCAAUUUCCAAGGCAGUGGUUAGGAAAUAAGGCUUGGGUCAAGGCGGUAGCAGCUGGAUUGUUAUAGUCUCAAGUUCCAUUUCUAUGUAACCUUGUCAAAAAAAUAAAUUUCCUAGGCAGUUGUUUUCUCUUAGAUGUUAGAGAAUCGUCUAAAACAAAUGAUGGGGUUGUUAACUUCCAGAAACAACUACUUUAGGAACUGUUUAGUGAAGGAGAUGCAAUUAUAUAAUGUUGAUAGAGGCAUCGAUGUUCUUAAGAAUAAUAGGAUUGGGUCUAAGAAAGUUCUUGUUGUAAUUGAUGAUCUCAAUAGUGAGAAACAACUCAAAAAAUCGGCUAUUAACUCUGAUUGGUAUCAUCAGAGAGUAGGAUCAUCAUCACCACCAGAGAUGAGCAUGUGUUAAAUGUGAAUAAUAGAGUGGAUAAGUGUCAUAUCUACAAGCUCAAGGAAAUGGACAGCAAAGAAUCUUUUCAACUCUUCAAUUGGUACGCAUUUGGGAGGGACGAAUCCAUGCAAGGAUAUGCCGAGCUUUCUUAGGAUGUGCUAUCCACUGCUAGUGGACUUCCACUAGCUCUUGAAGUAACUUAUGGGAUGAGACACUGGAUGAGUGGAAAGAUGUAGUAGCAAAUUUGAAAUAUUUGUUUCAUUUCUUCGUUCAAAUCAUCAAAACUUAUUUUCAGCUUUGGCAUGACAUCAUUUUCAGUGGAAAGAUGCUGUAAAAAAUCUUUAUGAGUGAUCUUUGCAAUAGUUUCCUUAUGGAAAUAUUGUGGUUUUUGGAAGGAGACUAUUGCGAAUGUCACUCAUUAAGAUUAAUAAUGAGAGUAGGUUGUGGAUGUACCAUCAACUUCGUGACAUGGGGAGAGAAAUUGUUGAACUCGGGUGAUCUUGGAAGGCAUAGUAGGUUGUGGUCUAAAGAAGAUGCCAUUAUUGUGUUAAAGAACCACAAGGUUCGAGGCCUAAUGCCCUAGGGGAAUGAUCAGGAGGAGAGUUGCAAAACUAAAGUAUUUAACCAAUGACCAAUCUCAUGCUACUCAACAUUAGUCAUGCGAGUCUUAUUGGAAUCUUGAAAGAUAUUUCAUCAGAAUUGGUGUGGCUACAAUUGUGGCAAUCCCCUUUAUGGUACCUCCCAGAUGAUUUUAGCCAUGGAAACUUGUUGUCCUUGACUUGUCAAAGAGUGACGAUGUCCUUCACUUGUCAAACAACACCACCAAGCAGGACCUUUACAUCCAUGCGAUUUGGCCCUUGUACCAAAAAUAUCAACAUGCUUUUAAGGUAAGUUGCAAUCUGCUUCUUGUACAAGAUGAAACUGUUGGCAAUAUUUGAUGAAUACUUAAAACUUUUUUCUGAAUUAUGACGCAUUUGAAGUGAUUGUAACUGCCCUCAUUCAGUUCUAAAUUCCCUCACCCCAUAAAGUCAAAAAAAUUUGAACCUGAUGGACAGGUGGUAAUGCUCUGAACAACUGCCAUUUUUUUUAUGCUGUUAAAAUAUUCUGCAAGUUGUAACUAGCCCUCAUUCAGUUCUAAAUCCCUUAACCGCCGGGAAGUCCAAAGAAUUUGGACCUGAUGGACAGGUGGUAAUGCUAUGAACAACUGCCAUUUUUUUCUAUGCUGUUAAAAUAUCAUAGAAGCAAAUCUUACUCAAAAGUUAUUGUAGAUUCCAGAGGUGGUGCCAGCAAUAGCUGAAGAGGAUGAAGAUACUCUAAUAAAAAAUAUUCGAAGGCAUAUGACCCUAUGACCAUUGAAGAUAAGGGAAGAUAAGGAAAUGUUUCCAAUAUGAUGGGUCGUCCAUAUUAAGGUCUGUGUUUCGUCCAAGCUUGAUUAUGGAGCUCCACUUGAUGGAAUAUACAUUUCUGUUAAUGAAUUUUGUUCUUUUCGACUAAUGGAUUCUGUGAAGUGAGGUUUCAUUAACUUUCUUUGCUACCGCAUAUCGUUUGUUUCUCCAUAGCUAGCUGUGACGAAAGCUGAAGCUGUACGCAAUAAUGAUUGCCCUGUGAAUAUUAAGCUGGUCGCUACUCUCUUUUUUGUUCUUUCCACUUAGACUUUGGAUUAGGUUUGUGUGCAGGUUCUCAUGAUAUUAGAAAAGGUUGAGAAAAAUAUACCUUAGGCAUAAUUGCCAAUAAUUAAAAUGAUUAUCUUGCAGGUGUAAUUGUGGCCAUAAUCUA